UGGGGAAUAUUGCACAAUGGGCGCAAGCCUGAUGCAGCCAUGCCGCGUGUAUGAAGAAGGCCUUCGGGUUGUAAAUUACUUUCAGCGGGGAGGAAGGGAGUAAAGUUAAUACCUUUUCUCAUUGACGUUACCCGCAGAAGAAGCACCGGCUAACUCCGUGCCAGCAGCCGCGGUAAUACGGAGGGUGCAAGCGUUAAUCGGAAUUACUGGGCGUAAAGCGCACGCAGGCGGUUUGUUAAGUCAGAUGUGAAAUCCCCGGGCUCAACCUGGGAACUGCAUCUGAUACUGGAAAGCUUGAGUCUCGUAGAGGGGGGUAGAAUUCCAGGUGUAGCGGUGAAAUGCGUAGAGAUCUGGAGGAAUACCGGUGGCGAAGGCGGCCACCUGGACGAAAACUGACGCUCAGGUGCGAAAGCGUGGGGAGCAAACAGG
This 429-nucleotide ribosomal RNA is filed under the name Chloroflexota bacterium. RNAcentral's name for it is "Chloroflexi bacterium partial 16S ribosomal RNA". It matches the Rfam family "Bacterial small subunit ribosomal RNA", at positions 355 to 776 of the family's 1533-position model. Lineage: Bacteria; Bacillati; Chloroflexota. The record is from RNAcentral.